RNAcentral lists this ribosomal RNA (441 nucleotides) under uncultured bacterium. Its description in RNAcentral is "partial 16S ribosomal RNA". It matches the Rfam family "Bacterial small subunit ribosomal RNA", at positions 339 to 795 of the family's 1533-position model. The record is from RNAcentral.
CUACGGGACGCUGCAGUGGGGAAUAUUGCGCAAUGGGCGAAAGCCUGACGCAGCCACGCCGCGUGUGUGAUGAAGGCCUUCGGGUCGUAAAGCACUGUCGGGAGGAAAGAAGUUCUGACGGUACCUCCCAAGAAAGCACCGGCUAACUCCGUGCCAGCAGCCGCGGUAAGACGGAGGGUGCAAGCGUUGCUCGGAAUCACUGGGCGUAAAGCGUACGCAGGCGGCCUGGUAAGUCGGGUGUGAAAUCCCGAGGCUCAACCUCGGAAUUGCGUCCGAUACUGUCAGGCUUGAAUACGGGAGAGGGAAGUGGAAUUCCUGGUGUAGAGGUGAAAUUCGUAGAUAUCAGGAGGAACACCAGUGGCGAAAGCGGCUUCCUGGCCCGAUAUUGACGCUCAUGUACGAAAGCGUGGGGAGCAAACAGGAUUAGAUACCCCUGUAGUC